Leopardus geoffroyi (Geoffroy's cat) is the source of this 288-nucleotide long non-coding RNA. RefSeq lists it as uncharacterized. The transcript has 3 exons. Lineage: Eukaryota; Metazoa; Chordata; Mammalia; Carnivora; Felidae. The record is from RefSeq and is a predicted model, not a curated record.
GGCGCCCUCCCCGCCCCGCCCCGCCCGCCCCAGGCCCGAGCGAGGCGCCGCGGGAGGAAUUCCAGCCAUUUCCUCUGCGCCGCGCGCCAGAGUCCCAAGGCCAAGAACAGCCCUUGCAGCAAGAUGUGCGCCCCUCAUUCCUCACAAACGCUACAGCCACAGACCGCAUAAAUCCAGAUGAGGAAGCUGGUACCCAGCUGGCAGAAGAGAGGUUUGAACUCAGGGAUCUGACUCCACUGGUCAUGACUUGAACUUCUGCUGGGGGAUAAUCAAUUCUGAUGGCCUUUC